UACGUAGGGAGCAAGCGUUGUCCGGAAUCAUUGGGCGUAAAGAGCUCGUAGGCGGCUUGUCACGUCGGAUGUGAAAGCCCGAGGCUUAACCUCGGGUCUGCAUUCGAUACGGGCUAGCUAGAGUGUGGUAGGGGAGAUCGGAAUUCCUGGUGUAGCGGUGAAAUGCGCAAAUAUCAGGAGGAACACCGGUGGCGAAGGCGGAUCUCUGGGCCAUUACUGACGCUGAGGAGCGAAAGCGUGGGGAGCGAACAGG
This 253-nucleotide ribosomal RNA is filed under the name uncultured bacterium. Its description in RNAcentral is "partial 16S ribosomal RNA". It matches the Rfam family "Bacterial small subunit ribosomal RNA", at positions 524 to 776 of the family's 1533-position model. The record is from RNAcentral.